ACAAUUUUAACAUUUUAACAUUUAAGGUCACAGUGACCUUGACCUUCAAAUGAAUGACAUUGAAAUGACCAGUGGUCAUCUUCUAGUACUGGCCAAUCUUUAUUUCAAGUUUGAAGACUCUAGGUACAAGCAUACCAAAGUUAUAACAUGAAAUAAGAACUUUAACAUUUUUACAUUCAAGGUCACAGUGACCUUGACCUUCAAAUGAAUGACCUUGAAAUGUCCAGUGGUUACUUACUAGUUCUGGCCAACCUUCAUGUCAAGUUUCAAGACUCUAGGUCCAAGCAUACCAAAGUUAUAACAACUUUAACAUUUUUACAUUCAAGGUCACAGUGACCUUGACCUUCAAAUGAAUGACCUUGAAAUGUCCAGUGGUUACUUACUAGUUCUGGCCAACCUUCAUGUCAAGUUUCAAGACUCUAGGUCCAAGCAUACCAAAGUUAUAACAACUUUAACAUUUUUAUAUUGAAGGUCACAGUGACCUUGACCUUCAAAUGAAUGACCUUGAAAUGUCCAGUGGUUACUUACUAGUUCUGGCCAACCUUCAUGUCAAGUUUCAAGACUCUAGGUCCAAGCAUACCAAAGUUAUAACAACUUUAACAUUUUUACAUUCAAGGUCACAGUGACCUUGACCUUCAAAUGAAUGACCUUGAAAUGUCCAGUGGUUACUUACUAGUUCUGGCCAACCUUCAUGUCAAGUUUCAAGACUCUAGGUCCAAGCAUACCAAAGUUAUAACAACUUUAACAUUUUUAUAUUGAAGGUCACAGUGACCUUGACCUUCAAAUGAAUGACCUUGAAAUGACCAGUGGUCAUCUGUUAAUCCUGGCCAACCUUCAUGUCAAGUUUGAAGACUCUAGGUCCAAGCAUACCAAAGUUAUACCAUGAAAUAAGAACUUUAACAUUUUCGAGCACGCCGC
Dreissena polymorpha is the source of this 918-nucleotide long non-coding RNA. RefSeq lists it as uncharacterized. NCBI's taxonomy places the organism in Eukaryota, Metazoa, Mollusca, Bivalvia, Myida, Dreissenidae. The transcript is spliced from 3 exons. The record is from RefSeq and is a predicted model, not a curated record.